GCAGAAUGGUUGUGAUUUCAUGUUAAUGAGAGUGGCCUUGUCUGGAAUUUGAAACUCAAGACCAGUCUCACACCAUACCCCAGGACCAAUGAGACACGAAUGUGAAUGCUUGCACAAAGAAAAUGUUUGUCCAUUAGUUGCACACAUCUUAUUUGACGAAAUGCAAACUGGCAUCGAGAUCCUAAAGUGCAGUUUUCCAUGCGUUGGCAUCUUGUUGAAGGCAUACAAGAGCUCCAUGACAAAAGCUUGGCAACAUGGCCCAGUGACCUAAUGGAUAAGGCAUCAGCCUCUGGAGUUGGGUAUUGUAGGUUCAAGUCCCAUCUGGGUUGUCUUUGAAGGUCCACUAUAGAUUUAAUUACAGAUCAUUUCAACCAAUUAUUGCAAUGAAAAAAACUGAUGCAUCAACACAUCAAAGCACUCUCUUGCUGACAUCAGGGCUUUCCUGUUGCAGUCGGGUGUGCACGUCUCCAACACCACUAUAAGACGACACUAUAGACGUCAAAGCCCUGUAGGCCUUCCUAGAAAAACAACUGCAAGGCAAGGAAAAUGAACAGUGCUGCACUUAAAACGAUUGACGAAAAACUGCACAAGGACAAUGAGCAAUCUGCUAAAAAGAUUCAGAGUGAGCUUCUGUUUAGAAUACAGUUAAAAGCAUCAGUCUGCAAUAUUAGAAAACCAGUAAAACAACUCAGGUGGACCUAUAGAAAGCCAGGUAAGCCAUUUUGAACAAUGCCAUAAUGAAAAGAUUUAUUUAUUUACAUUAAUCCAUGCAUCUCUUUAUUUAGGCUAUUUGCUUUAUACGAGCUUACAUGUCCUACAAAUUUAUUAAUAGGACAUACCCUAUUAAUAAACCGCCAUGUUGUGAAACCGAAAGCAAAGCAUCCAGUAAAAAUUCAUGUCUGGGGAGCCAUAUUCCAUCAGGGACCUGGACCGCUAGUUGUGUUAGAAGGAAUUAUGGACAGAUGUUUUUACGAAGACACUAUAAUAAAAUUCAAUCAGGCUCCAUACGUAAAACAACACUUUAAGAACCAUAUCACUUCUUCCAAGGUAGAUACAGUAUGUAGGCCUACUGUACCAACUUUGUAUGUGUGUGUGUACAUGUUCACUGAUGUGUGUGUGUGUGUG
Danio rerio (zebrafish) is the source of this 1125-nucleotide non-coding RNA. The record is from RefSeq and is a predicted model, not a curated record. Lineage: Eukaryota; Metazoa; Chordata; Actinopteri; Cypriniformes; Danionidae.